This 820-nucleotide long non-coding RNA is filed under the name Bos indicus x Bos taurus (hybrid cattle). Its description in RNAcentral is "lncRNA (ENSBIXG00005031355.1)". Lineage: Eukaryota; Metazoa; Chordata; Mammalia; Artiodactyla; Bovidae. The record is from RNAcentral.
GCUCCUCAUGAUACCAAGUGGCUGCCACAACUCUUGCCUAAGAUGCUUUCAGGAACAACUGCCACCUCCCAAAUCCCAGGGUUUGAUGUCUGUACCUCACGCCACACGCUUGUCUCGUCUUCACCUUUGUCUCCUGAGGGAUGGACACUGUUACAGAAGACGGACGUGUUUGAUGCUGAAGUCACACAGUAUCCUGCCAGCAUCAGUUAAACGAUGAAUCUUGUAUGAGAGGGAUUCACGUCUGGGACAGACAGGAGAAGAGCUCCUGGGAUUUGCAGAAGAAAGAGGCCUGGGGACAAGUAGAUGUCAUCACUGGGGCCUCAGGAAGACCUUAUCGGGCCUGUAGACUCUUCAUUUGGAGCCUUGGUCUUAGCAGUGUUGAUUUCUGGCCCUUGGCGGAUGGCUACUAUACCUGGGAGUUACUUGCCUCUGUAAGUAACUCCGAAGGCCACUUCGCCUUAGGAUGGCAGGAUGGUUUCAUCAUAUUCUGUGUAACUGACACCAGAAAGAAUCCUAUCUCAUACAGCUGAGUUUAGUCCCAUUAUUGCCUGGCAUACGAGCCUCCUUCACUAUGGGAAAAUGUAAGUAAAUUUAGAUAUAUAAGCAGAAUGACCAAAUAGAUAGAUGAUAGCUAGGUAGCUGGAUAGACUGAUGGAUAUAGAACAGAUAAAAUUUAGUGUUUGUCCAUGCAUGGAGAAUAGGAUCAGAAAGAUACAUACCCAACUCUUCACAAUUAAUACUCUGGGAUGAGAAGGUGUUUCACUUUAUUAUGAUCAGCUUUUCCUGGAAUGUUUGCAUUUAAAGAUAAGCAUAUGUGACC